UAGAAGGGAGAAAGAAGUCAAAAAAACCAUUGCGCAUAUUUGACGACUGUUUUCUCACACUCCUUUCAGGUCCACCUAAAUGCUUACCCAUUUCUUUCUCCAGACUCCAGCAUAUAUUCACACACAGUUGCAGAGAUUUCAAUCACACUCAACCCAAUAGGAUCUAAAAGUAACAGGGUUAACAAUCAUUCUACAUUGGAGUGAUAUUUAGCUUAAAAUCGUCAGUGGAAGCCAUGACCAGAUCGUAAGGUUGGAUACUCUACACUCUUCAGUGUCUUUACCAGCACAUCUCUUGCACCGAGACCUUAUAUUAUGCUUAAGGGCUUAAGCCACUUUGAGGGUUGGGACAAAAAUUUGUGUUCCUUUUCAACCUUUUACUGGAAUUGUAAUGCUUAUUCUAUAUUUCUUAGAGUUCACAAUGGAGAAUUGGUCUCAUUAGCUUGGAUUAGGGAAGUCAAUAUAAGUAAAGUGGUGGAAUAACUUGCAUACUUUUUGAAAUAAAAGCCUCGACUGGUUCGAUGGGCAAGGAAAAUUUAUCAGAAGCUGAGGUUGGAGUCAGUGAGGAAGGUGGCUCACCUAGACAGAGUGAUUGUCUAGGGACUCUCCCACGCCAUAGUCUUGACAAGGAUGCCGGACUGCCAACUUGUCGUGUGUGCCAUUGCGCUGAAUCUGACAAAAGGGGAGAUGCAGCAUUAGAGUUCUUGGGCAUCACUCCUCCUUUACAAGAAGCAUGCAUAAGCCACAGGGAAGUAAAUCCUGACAGCAAUAUAGCCCUGAAAGAUGCUGAAAGUCAUAGUUCUGUCAAGAAAAAUGUUGGAAAUGAACCUAGGUUUUUGGAGUUUAUAGGCCCUGAUGGAGAAGUUUUCAUUUGUAGUGCUGAUUUAGAAAUGGGUUCAUGUCAGCAUCAAGACACUUUACUGGAGCUUGGUUGCUCUUGCAAAAAUGACCUUGCUCUAGUACACUAUUCAUGCGCACUCAAAUGGUUUAUCAACCAUGGAUCCACUGUCUGUGAAAUCUGUGGACGUGUUUCGAAGAAUAUCAGAGCUACAGAUUUCAAAAAGGUUCUUCUUUCAUUGAAAGAGUAUGAAUCAUUAAGGGAAAGAACUGCUAGUGGGCAAACUGAUCCGCCACAUGCCAAUACAAGUAUAGGCGUAGAUCCGGAUGCUGUAGCUGCUAUUCGAAGGCAACGGCUGAGUGAGAUUUCCCUGUGGUUCAGUCCACAUAAUAAUGGUAACGGUAACAAUAAUACAAAUGGCAAUUCUGUUGCACUUUCACAAGUUGCAUCAGAAGAACCUCAGAAUACUGCGGUUGUCCCUGCUGAAAAUGUUGCAACCAAAUGGGCUAUGGAAGCUACUGCUAUUCUGCUUGCCACAGGGCUGCUUACCGUCACUGUAGUGUGGCUUUUAGCUCCUCAUGUUGGGAAGAAAACUGCCAAAAGUGGUCUUCAUAUUCUCCUGGGAGGAAUUUGUGCUUUAACAGUUGUGGUUUUCUUUCGAUUUGGAUAAUUAAGAGAGUAAAGUGGAGGAGUUAGCAGUGGUGCUGGAAUGUGACAUGGGACACUGGUCUUUAGAGUAUAUAGGGUUGCCUCUUGGUGGUUAACCCCAAGCUAUAAGUCUUUGGCAUACAGUGGUGGAAAGAGUAGAAAGGAGAUUAAAAGGAAUGGAGUAAAACUUUCCUAUCAAGAGGGGGAUGAUUGACUGGAUUGAAUCUGUUUUAAGCAAUCUGGCAAUCCGCUUUACAUCUCUUUUUUGCAUUUCUGUAGUUGUGGCUAGAAGAGUCGUGUAAGUUAUGGCCAAUACCAGGUAUAUAAGCAGUUUUUUGUUGGAGGGUGUGUGUUGGAGGGGAAACAGGGUCAUUUAGUCAAGUGGGAUGUGACUUUCUCAAGCCAAGGGAAAAGAGGUGUCAGUGCAGGAAGCUUUAUUAAAGAAGAAUGAAGUUCUACUUGGAAAGUGGCUUUGGCUCUUUAGUGAUAAGAGGAUGCCCUCUGGUAUGCUGUCAUCAGAAGCAAGUACUACAUGAAAAUGGUUGGGAUUCCAAUUUUGAUAAGAGAGUAAGCUAUCAGAGGAGACACCCUUCUUGGUGCCUGUCUGGACGUUGUUGUAUGAUGUUUAAUGAUGCUGCUUAGACUGUAAAGCAUGUUCUCCUUCAUUCCUCAAUUGCAAUGAGCUUAUGCAGAAAUUAUUUAUUGAGGCUAAUUUCAGAUGGGAUGCUCCAGCUUCUUGCAAGGCCUUAUUGUGUUUGAGGUAUAAAUUCUUUGGAGGAAAGAUGAAAGGAAUGGUGUUGGGAGGUUGUGCUAUAUUAGCAAUCAUUUGGGUGGUGCGCAUGCACAGGAAUAAGAGUCUUUAAGGGAGCUGGGGAUGAGAAGAUAGAACACUUUAUAGAGUUCGAUACGUGGCUUUGCUCCAAGGCAUCAGUUUCUCAUUGGAUUGGGAAGUUAUGCUUCUGUUUUAGUUUGUGCUCACAAGAAUCAAGUAUGGACCGGCACGUUACUGGGCAAUAUUGUUUGUCUUUUGGUUUCUCGUAUUUGGAAUUUGGGCUUCACGCACACAUGGCGCGCACAAAACAUAAUUCUGUUGUAUGCUA
Rosa chinensis is the source of this 2583-nucleotide RNA transcript. RefSeq lists it as uncharacterized. The transcript has 5 exons. NCBI's taxonomy places the organism in Eukaryota, Viridiplantae, Streptophyta, Magnoliopsida, Rosales, Rosaceae. The record is from RefSeq and is a predicted model, not a curated record.